UACGUAGGGGGCAAGCGUUGUCCGGAAUCAUUGGGCGUAAAGAGCGUGUAGGCGGCCCGGUAAGUCCGCUGUGAAAGUCCAGGGCUCAACCCUGGGAUGCCGGUGGAUACUGUCGGGCUCGAGUCCGGAAGAGGCGAGUGGAAUUCCUGGUGUAGCGGUGAAAUGCGCAGAUAUCAGGAGGAACACCAAUGGCGAAGGCAGCUCGCUGGGACGUGACUGACGCUGAGACGCGAAAGCGUGGGGAGCGAACAGG
RNAcentral lists this ribosomal RNA (253 nucleotides) under uncultured bacterium. RNAcentral describes it as "partial 16S ribosomal RNA". It matches the Rfam family "Bacterial small subunit ribosomal RNA", at positions 524 to 776 of the family's 1533-position model. The record is from RNAcentral.